Molecule: ribosomal RNA, 406 nt
Filed under: uncultured prokaryote
Also listed under: 1 other name
Description: bacterial SSU rRNA
Rfam family: Bacterial small subunit ribosomal RNA
Source: RNAcentral
UGGGGAAUAUUGCACAAUGGGCGAAAGCCUGAUGCAGCAACGCCGCGUGAGCGAUGAAGGCCUUCGGGUCGUAAAGCUCUGUCCUUGGGGAAGAAAAAAAUGACGGUACCCUUGGAGGAAGCCCCGGCUAACUACGUGCCAGCAGCCGCGGUAAUACGUAGGGGGCGAGCGUUAUCCGGAAUUAUUGGGCGUAAAGAGUGCGUAGGUGGUUUCCUAAGCGCGAGGUUUAAGGCAAUAGCUUAACUAUUGUUCGCCUUGCGAACUGGGUUACUUGAGUGCAGGAGAGGAAAGUGGAAUUCCUAGUGUAGCGGUGAAAUGCGUAGAUAUUAGGAGGAACACCAGUGGCGAAGGCGACUUUCUGGACUGUUACUGACACUGAGGCACGAAAGCGUGGGGAGCAAACAGG